AUAUUUUAUUUGAAUUAGACUAGAGAAAAUUAGAUUAUAGUUUCAUGGCCAAUUUGCAUAAAAAAUCCACUAGUUUUGCGCUUUUGCAAAUGCGGGCCACCUUUUUCAUUUUUGCAAAUUCGGGCCGGAUUUUCAGCCGCCUGACCAAAAUGCCCCUCGUCUACAUCCGUCGCUCGCGUAUUCUCUGAUAUACGUAUACCCUGCCGUACGGUCCUGGCGGACAUUAAAUGCGCCCCUUGCGCUUUACGCAACCUCUGCUCUUUUUCGAAACUCGGACAAAAUUCGCCCAGAUAUUCACCAACCUCACUGUUUGCUGUUUGGCUUUAAGAAUUUAAAUACU
This 340-nucleotide long non-coding RNA is filed under the name Ananas comosus (pineapple). RNAcentral describes it as "long non-coding RNA (ACOM_LNC044366)". The record is from RNAcentral. Lineage: Eukaryota; Viridiplantae; Streptophyta; Magnoliopsida; Poales; Bromeliaceae.